This 638-nucleotide ribosomal RNA is filed under the name Actinomycetales bacterium TLI254. RNAcentral describes it as "bacterial SSU rRNA". It matches the Rfam family "Bacterial small subunit ribosomal RNA", at positions 140 to 791 of the family's 1533-position model. Lineage: Bacteria; Bacillati; Actinomycetota; Actinomycetes; Actinomycetales. The record is from RNAcentral.
GGGACAAGCCCUGGAAACGGGGUCUAAUACCGGAUACGACACGGGGUCGCAUGACCUCCGUGUGGAAAGCUCCGGCGGUGAAGGAUGAGCCCGCGGCCUAUCAGCUUGUUGGUGGGGUGAUGGCCUACCAAGGCGACGACGGGUAGCCGGCCUGAGAGGGCGACCGGCCACACUGGGACUGAGACACGGCCCAGACUCCUACGGGAGGCAGCAGUGGGGAAUAUUGCACAAUGGGCGAAAGCCUGAUGCAGCGACGCCGCGUGAGGGAUGACGGCCUUCGGGUUGUAAACCUCUUUCAGCAGGGAAGAAGCGAAAGUGACGGUACCUGCAGAAGAAGCGCCGGCUAACUACGUGCCAGCAGCCGCGGUAAUACGUAGGGCGCAAGCGUUGUCCGGAAUUAUUGGGCGUAAAGAGCUCGUAGGCGGCUUGUCGCGUCGGAUGUGAAAGCCCGGGGCUUAACCCCGGGUCUGCAUUCGAUACGGGCAGGCUAGAGUUCGGUAGGGGAGAUCGGAAUUCCUGGUGUAGCGGUGAAAUGCGCAGAUAUCAGGAGGAACACCGGUGGCGAAGGCGGAUCUCUGGGCCGAUACUGACGCUGAGGAGCGAAAGCGUGGGGAGCGAACAGGAUUAGAUACCCUGGU